Molecule: ribosomal RNA, 226 nt
Filed under: uncultured bacterium
Lineage: Bacteria
Description: partial 16S ribosomal RNA
Rfam family: Bacterial small subunit ribosomal RNA
Source: RNAcentral
CAAAACAACAGUCUCAGUUCAGAUUGUAGGCUGAAACUCGCCUAUAUGAAGUCGGAAUUGCUAGUAAUCGCGGAUCAGCAUGCCGCGGUGAAUACGUUCCCGGGCCUUGUACACACCGCCCGUCACACCAUGAGAGUCGAUAACACCCGAAGCCUGUAGUCUAACAGCAAUGAGGACGCAGUCGAAGGUGGGAUUGAUAAUUAGGGUGAAGUCGUAACAAGGUACC